AUUUCUUUGAUCUAUAAUAAUAAUAAAAACAUGACUGAGGAAAUUGAAGAGAAAAAGAGAGUACGUAGCACAAAUUACACAGCAGAGGAAAAGCUGUUCUCAUAAAUAUUAUUAGCAAAUAAAAAUAUCAUUGAAUCCAAAAAAA
Molecule: long non-coding RNA, 145 nt
Organism: Pogonomyrmex barbatus (red harvester ant)
Lineage: Eukaryota; Metazoa; Arthropoda; Insecta; Hymenoptera; Formicidae
Source: RefSeq, a predicted model, not a curated record